Molecule: ribosomal RNA, 353 nt
Filed under: Salmonella enterica subsp. enterica serovar Newport
Lineage: Bacteria; Pseudomonadati; Pseudomonadota; Gammaproteobacteria; Enterobacterales; Enterobacteriaceae
Description: bacterial LSU rRNA
Rfam family: Bacterial large subunit ribosomal RNA
Source: RNAcentral
AACCGGGGGAACUGAAACAUCUAAGUACCCCGAGGAAAAGAAAUCAACCGAGAUUCCCCCAGUAGCGGCGAGCGAACGGGGAGGAGCCCAGAGCCUGAAUCAGCAUGUGUGUUAGUGGAAGCGUCUGGAAAGGCGCGCGAUACAGGGUGACAGCCCCGUACACAAAAGCGCAUGUGCUGUGAGCUCGAUGAGUAGGGCGGGACACGUGGUAUCCUGUCUGAAUAUGGGGGGACCAUCCUCCAAGGCUAAAUACUCCUGACUGACCGAUAGUGAACCAGUACCGUGAGGGAAAGGCGAAAAGAACCCCGGCGAGGGGAGUGAAAAAGAACCUGAAACCGUGUACGUACAAGCAG